GCUGGAAGGACACGCUCUGCGCUAGUAUGGCCAUUCUCAGGGUCUCGGAGUGGGUGUUCUCUCCAGAAACUGAGGCCUGAGACUAACCAAGAACAAAGAAAAACGCCUGGCACGGAAGGUUUGGGCGAAGUUUUGUACAUAAAUGAUUUGAGGAGGAACACUUCCUCAGAUUUUGGAAGGCAUACAAAUCACUCUUUUUCUUGCUUACAUGUUAAAAAACUUUUAUUUCGUGUUUCCAGAUCAUUUCCUAAUAAGAAAAUACCUUAUAAUUUACAGACAGCAAUUUAUUCUCCCUUACAUUUGCUGACCACUAAAACUGGAUACAGUUUCCUUAAGCUUUACCAGAGUCAGAGGAUUGGGAAUGAUGUGAGCAUAGCAGAGUGCAGAUGCAACAUCAACUCCAACGUCGGCCAGCUGGUUUCCAUCGAGAGGUCCCCCAGGAGAAAGCCCCUCCGAGGCGGCGGCCGGGGUCGGCGCGGGGUAAGACCCCCCGGGGCGGCCCAGUGGCAGCCACGGAGCAGGGCCGAGGUCUGCCUGGCCCCUGUUUACCUUUGUUACAGGUACGCCCGCUCCCAGCCCGGCCCGGGAUCCCGCCCGAGGCCCCGAGCUGGUGACACAUCCUUCUUUGGCCAAGUCGGGCCGAGGUUGGGCAGGGGGCGGGGAAGGAAAAUAAAGCCUCAGCGCCUAACGACGUGACUCUCAGUUCUUCCAAAACGUUGGCAUUUGUUUCUCUGCCAAGCUUUCCUAUUAACAAGUUCCCGAGGGCUGUGCGGGUGAACUGGCCCCGGAGCCCCGAAAGUGGGAGGGACCAGGCCGUCCCCCGCCCGCUCGUCCGUGGGCGCCCCGGGGCAGGCCGUUUUCACACCUCCCGGGCUGACAAGGCCCGGGACCAAGCUGGGCAUGAGGCGGCGCCCGUACCGCCUCGAACCCCGACUUCCGCGGCCGGGCCAGCCCAGCUGGCCCCUCGGGCCAGUCCGGUCCCCGCCCCCAGG
RNAcentral lists this long non-coding RNA (992 nucleotides) under Ovis aries (sheep). RNAcentral describes it as "lncRNA (ENSOARG00000025631.1)". The record is from RNAcentral. Lineage: Eukaryota; Metazoa; Chordata; Mammalia; Artiodactyla; Bovidae.